AACCCCUUCCCCACCGUCUCCAGAAACCUCCCGACCCUUCCACACCCACUCCCCCUCACCUCCCCAUCAUCCCGGCGGCAGCCUCCUGCGGGCCCCGGCCUUCCCCCGCGGCGGCGACGAGCAGAGCAGCCGACGACGACGGCCUCCUCCGCUGCGCCCCGGCCCCGUUAUUCCGCCGCCCCGGCCCCGUUAUUCCGCCGCCCCGGAGCCAUCCGUCCCGGGGCGAGGCCUCCGUGUUUCCGCCUCCGCUGACCGCCGCGGCAUGCUUCCCCUGCGGCGCCUCUCCACCGCUGACAUAUCUGAGACAGAGACGUCACCAAAACGGCUGCGAUCAGGGCAGGCCUCGCAGGAACCCCACCAGGCCUUCAGCAUCAAGUAUUUGUUGUUUGAUAUCUUGCUCCAUAUCCAGGAUCCAACAACCCUUCUGCAUGCUUCGCUCGUGUGUAAGGAUUGGUAUAAAAUCAUCUCAGAUCCUGGUUUCCUCAACCCUUUCCGCAAAAAACAAAUUAGCCAGUUCGUCGGGUUUUUUGGUGAGUUUGAUGGUGGGGAUGAUAUAGAAUUCAUACCGCUGCCACUGCCCCCUGAGUUUGCAUAUGUUGGCAAGUACCUAUUGACUUCAUUUUCGGGUGGUCUUAGAAAUGCGCAAGACAUUCGUGGUGGCUCUGUUCUUCUAAAACUGGAAGACUCGAUCGCCAUCUCCAAUCCAUUUAUGAAGAGUUUCCGCACAUUUCCACUAGCCCCACCUUUCCGGAAUAUUCAUGGCCAUCAUUGUGGUGAUUUUUACCUCUUCAAUGGUGAUAGCGUAGUCCGCGUGGUUAUCAUUGCCAUGGCUAAUCUUCUGCAUAUUCAGUUAUGUGUUCUCGAGUCUAGUACUUGGAUAGAGUAUAGAAACACCGUUGAUGUUGGUAUUUCUCUUGGGGAAGGGCCCUUCUGUAAGACUGCGCUGUGUGUUAACCGCUUUAUAUAUAUGCUCUCUAUUGAUGGAUUCUUAGUGAAAGUCAGAAUGGAGGAUUGUUCUGCAUCUGUCAUCCCUCUUCCAAAUGGGUCAUAUGAAUGGCGUUUUCAACAGAUAUGCCGAUCGAAUUAUUCUGAUUUCCUGUAUGUCCAUGUUGAUGGUUUCGACAUUCGAAUAUGGUCGUAUUUGUCAGAUACCUGGACUCCUGUCUUUAGGAUUCAUGUUCCUUCUAUAUUUGCCUGUCACAUUGAUAUUGUGGAAAGCCUUAAUUGUAUUGAGUGGGACACGUCAAGGAGUGGCUGGGGGGAGUUUUUGACAAUGUACGGUGUCUCCGAUGGGGUUGAGCAUAUUAUCAUGGGGAUUAAUGGUGUUGAGCAUUUAUAUCUACUGGAUUCUAUUAAUGGAACAGUGACGUUAAUUGGAUCCAACGAAGAAUUAAUUGAGAUUUCACCUUUUGUCACCUCUUGGAUCCCUUCAUUUCUGACUUUAAAGGAAAAGAGUGCUGAAAUUGAAUACGAAUGUCUUGAUAUAUUAGGUGAUGUGUUUGAUAGAUCUGGCAACGUGAUCACGAAAGAUCAUGCGUAUAUGCUCACUGCACUUUUAUCCCAGCUGAGCUCCACUGAAGCAAGUGUCAGAAAAAAGACUGUUUCGUGCAUUGCAUCGCUUGCUCCAUGUUUGUCAGAUGAUCUAUUAGCCAAGGCAACUUUGGAGGCUGUCCAAUUGCUGAAAAAAAGAAGGCAGAAGUCUGAAAUAACCCGAACGAAUAUCCAGAUGAUUGGUGCUCUAAGCUGCUCGGUUGGAUACCGGUUUGGACCACACCUUGCCGAAGCCGUUCCUUUGCUCAUAAGCUAUUGCACAAGUGCAUCAGAAAAUGAUGAAGAGCUCCGUGCAUGCAGCCUGCAGGCCCUCGAGAGUAUUAUGCUCAGAUGUCCAAGAGAUAUUUCCCCAUAUUAUGAGGGUAUUUUGAAUCUUGCUUUGGAAUAUGUAAGCUAUGACCCUAAUAUCACCGAUAGCAUGAAGGAGGAUGCUCACGGUGAAGUUCAGGAUGAGGAAGACGAUGAUGAGAGUGCGUCUGAAUACAAAGAUGACAAGAAUGCAAGCUGGAAGGUUCGUCAGGCAUCAGCGAAGUGCCUGUCUGCAAUUAUUGUAUCUUGUCCUCAGAUGUUGUUUAAGAUGUAUCAGGAGGCUUGUACGAAGUUAAUCAACCGCUUUAGGGAAAGAGAGGAGAAUGUAAAGAUGGACAUUUUCAAUACAUUUAUCGAGUUGUUACGCCAAACUGGUAAUGUGACAAAAGGACAAGGUGACAUUGAUGAGUCUAGCCCUAGAUGGUUGCUGAAGCAAGAGGUACCCAAAGUUGUCAAGUCUAUCGAUAGUCAGUUAUAUGAAAGAUCAAUCAAGACAAAGGUUGGAGCAUUCUCAGUAUUGAAGGAGCUUGUUGUUCUAUUACCAGAUUGUCUUGCUGAUCAUCUUGGGUCCCUUGUUCCUUGGAUUGAGAUGUAUUUGAAUGAUAAAUCUUAUACCUCCAGCCUGAAGAUUGAAGCCCUUGCAUUUACUAGGAUUCUUAUGGCCCCACAUUCGCCCUCUGUGUUUCAUCCAUACAUCCAGAUAUUAUGUGAUGCAAUAGUAUCUGCUAUUGGAGAUAUAUAUUACAAAGUCACCGCUGAUGCUCUACGGGCGUGCGGGGAGCUAGUCCGGGUUCUCCGUCCAAAUUUUGAGGCACGUUCCAUAAAUUGCAGGCCAUAUAUUAGUCCAAUCUAUGAAGCUAUAUGGGCCCGCUUGGCCAAUCAAGAUCAGGAAGUUAAUGAGUGUGCCAUAUCGUGCAUGAGCCUUGUGAUCGCUACUUUUGGUGAUGGUCUUCAAAGGGAAUUACCGUCAUGCCUAUCCUUACUUGUUGACAGGAUGAGCUAUGAAAUAACACGACUUACAGCAGUCAAGGCAUUUGCGGUGCUUGCGAAUUCACCUCUUCGGAUUGAUCUUUCAUGUGUCCUGGACCGUGUCGUUUCUGACCUUACAACUUUCCUUCGAAAGGCUAACAGAGCCCUUAGGCAGGCAACAACAGGAACCCUAGAUUCUCUGGUUGUUACAUAUGGGGAUCAAAUUGGCCUGCCCUCUUAUGAGACUAUAAUAGCUGAACUAUCUAUUCUUAUAAGUGACAUCGACUUGCAUAUGUCUGUUCUUGCGUUGGAACUCUGUCGCACAAUAAUGGUCGACAGAAGUUCCUUCCAAAAUGUUGGUUUAGCUGUGAGACAUAAAGUUUUGCCUCAGGCCCUUAUUUUGAUCAGGAGUGCUUUGUUACAAGGACGAGCACUAGAGGCGCUGCAGAAGUUUUUUACUGCACUGGUCCAGUCUGCAAAUACAACCUUUGAAACUUUGUUGGGCUCCCUUAUUUCCACUGCCAAACAGUCACAGUUGGGUGGCCUUGCCAAGCAGGCACUAUCCUCUAUUGCACAGUGUGUUGCUGUGCUAUGCUUAGCAGCUGGUGAUCAGAAGUGUGCAUUGACUAUUGAAAUGCUCGAAGGCAUUCUAAAUGAUGUCAGUUCUACUGAUACUGCUAAACAACACAUUGCCUUGUUAUGUUUGGGAGAAAUUGGAAGAAGGAAGGACCUCAGCAACCAUGUUCAAAUUGAGAACACUGUAAUUGAAUCAUUCCAGUCACCUUCGGAGGAGAUAAAAUCUGCAGCAUCGUACGCUCUCGGAAACAUUGCUGUUGGCAAUCUAUCCAAGUAUUUGCCAUUUAUCUUGGAUCAGAUUGACAAUCAACAGAAGAAUCCGUAUCUCUUGCUUCAUUCACUGAAAGAGGUAAUUGCAUGGCAGUCUGUUGAUCAUACUGGCCAGGAUGAGCUCCAGGACUCAAACAUUGUGAAGAUAUUGGCGUUGCUCUUUAAUCACUGCAAAAGUGAGGACGAAGGAGUUCAGGAUGUGGUUGCUGAGUGUUUAGGCAAAAUUGCACUUAUUGAACCUAACAAACUAAUCCCUGUUCUGAAGGAAUGCACAUCUAGCCCAGCAGCAAACACAAGGGCUACGGUUGCCAUUGCUAUAAAAUAUUCAAUUUGUUGAACGGCCUGGAAAGAUAGAUGCAAUCAUGUACUCUGAGAUUUCUACUUUCCUUAUGUUAAUCAAAGAUAGUGACAUGCAUGUGAGACGUGCAGCUAUCCUGGCGCUGAGUACAGCUGCCCACAACAAGCCAAAUUUGAUCAAAGGUCUUGUUCCUGAACUGCUCCCUCUUUUGUACGACCAGACUGUCGUGAAGGUAUUAUUUUCUGGUUUGGUUGCUUAUUUCCUUUCAUUAGUUAUGAUCUGGCGGCCAGUUUCCAGGGAUCCACGCGGUGCCAUUCUUGGAAGUUGGUAUGGAAGAGUUGGGCGCCUCCACGGGUAAAAAUUUUCCAUUGGCUCGCCGACCAGGAUCGCUGCUGGACUGCUGAGAGGCUCGCGCGACGUGGCUUGCAGCAUCACCCUCGAUGCCUCCUUUGCGACCAGGCCGUGGAAACUAUCCAGCACCUGCUGCUGACCUGCCCCUUUGCACGUCAGACCUGGCACAUUGUCCUUGAUUGGUUGAUUAUUCCGGUCCAAAUCCCCGAUCAGGAGCACACGGUCACGGAGUGGUGGCUGGGCGCGAAAGAGCUCGCGCCGCCGGCGCAUCGGAAGGCCCUCAAAUCCAUCGCGCUUCUUGUGCCCUGGAUGCUCUGGAAGCACAGGAACGCCUGUGUCUUCGACAACGCCACGCCAUCCAUCGAAUCACUAGUGGUUAGGAUCAAGGACGAGGCCCGGUGUUGGGCUGAAGCAGGAGCCCAGGGACUUCGGGUUGUUCUGCCCACAACCUGGGAUGUCCACUGAUUUUGUGCUUUUCUUUGUACUGCUCACCUCCUAGGAGGAUUGGUCUACCUUUUCCAUGAAAUGAAAUGCAAAGGUCCUUUGCGUUUUCUCGAAAAAAGUUAUGAUCUGGCGGUGCUACAUGCAAUUCACUGCUAGGUAGUAAUGAUUUCCUUCUUUGCAGCAAGAAUUGGUUAGGACAGCUUUCGAGCACGUCGUUGAUGAUGGGCUUGAACUUAGGAAAGCUGCCUUUGAAUGUGUGGACACAUUGCUGGAUAGUUGUCUUGAUCAAGUGAAUCCGUCGUCCUUCAUCGUUCCUUUCCUCUUAUCUGGUUUAGGUGAUCAUUAUGAUGUAAAAAUGCCCUGCCAUCUGAUUCUCUCAAAGCUAGCAGACAAGUGCCCCUAUGCUGUUCUUGCAGUUUUGGACUCAUUAGUUGAACCCCUUGAGGAAACUAUUGGUGACAAACCGACGGGUGAUGCAGUGAAGCAGGAGAUUGAUCGCAAUGAAGACAUGAUUCACAGUGCUCUUCAAGCAAUUGCUGCUCUAAGCCGCAUAAGUGGCAGCGGCUACAGCAUGAAGUUGAAGAAUCUGAUGAGCAAGAUAAAGGCCACUCCUUCAUUUUUGAAUAUGUUAGGAAAUACGUGCACAUGCCUGGGAAAUUCGAGGCGAUGAUCCAGCCUCGCAUUCGCCUUUUAUUGGCUGAAAGGUUGCACGGCAACAUGCGAGCAAAAGGAUGCUGAAGUGCUUUGCCAUCUGUCUUCCUGGUUUGUAGCUUAAAGGAGCGCCCGUCUCUGGUUCUUUGAUUUUGAGAUAGCUUACCACCUAUGCCAUGAAAGCCCCCCACGAACUAGCGCACAACUUGUGUGCGAUUCCUUUGCAAAUGUCUUGUACCAUUUCGGCUAGCUUCCUUUUUUUUUUCUGUAUUGUAUCUCACAGAG
RNAcentral lists this ribosomal RNA (5704 nucleotides) under Triticum aestivum (bread wheat). RNAcentral describes it as "partial small subunit ribosomal RNA". The record is from RNAcentral. Lineage: Eukaryota; Viridiplantae; Streptophyta; Magnoliopsida; Poales; Poaceae.